Molecule: long non-coding RNA, 379 nt
Filed under: Physcomitrium patens
Lineage: Eukaryota; Viridiplantae; Streptophyta; Bryopsida; Funariales; Funariaceae
Description: long non-coding RNA (PPAT_LNC011078)
Source: RNAcentral
GCAUCCCUUGUCGUAGUGACCGGAUCUUUGUUGUAGCCCAUCGAACCUUGUCGUGUUCACCAAAUGCUUCUGCAAAUGCCUCCAAAAAGGUUUCGAAGUUGUUUAAUAUGGACGAUCGUUUCUCAAACAAAGGAGCAAACCAUGAUAGAACUUGUCCUGUAAGUAAGGUUCCAACAAGCCCAACACGUGACUCCUCCGUUGGAUAGCGUUCGGGCUGUAAAACUGUUAUCAACUUGAUUUAGUUGAUGAAUCCUCGAAACUUGGAACGUGUACCAUCGAACUUGUCCGGAAGGCUAACUCGGGGUUCCUUAUGUUGUAGAACCAGCGGUGCUUGUCGAACAUGAGGCAAAUUUGCUUCUCCAAGUGUAGAAGUUUGAGG